This 263-nucleotide ribosomal RNA is filed under the name uncultured Staphylococcus sp. RNAcentral's name for it is "partial 16S ribosomal RNA". It matches the Rfam family "Bacterial small subunit ribosomal RNA", at positions 99 to 354 of the family's 1533-position model. Lineage: Bacteria; Bacillati; Bacillota; Bacilli; Caryophanales; Staphylococcaceae. The record is from RNAcentral.
CGGACGGGUGAGUAACACGUGGAUAACCUACCUAUAAGACUGGGAUAACUUCGGGAAACCGGAGCUAAUACCGGAUAAUAUAUUGAGCCGCAUGGUUCAAUAGUGAAAGACGGUUUUGCUGUCACUUAUAGAUGGAUCCGCGCCGCAUUAGCUAGUUGGUAAGGUAACGGCUUACCAAGGCAACGAUGCGUAGCCGACCUGAGAGGGUGAUCGGCCACACUGGAACUGAGACACGGUCCAGACUCCUACGGGAGGCAGCAGAA